AGAGUUUGAUCCUGGCUCAGGAUGAACGCUGGCGGCGUGCUUAACACAUGCAAGUCGAACGAAGCACUUUAUUUGAUUUCCUUCGGGACUGAUUAUUUUGUGACUGAGUGGCGGACGGGUGAGUAACGCGUGGGUAACCUGCCUUGUACAGGGGGAUAACAGUUGGAAACGGCUGCUAAUACCGCAUAAGCGCACAGCAUCGCAUGAUGCAGUGUGAAAAACUCCGGUGGUAUAAGAUGGACCCGCGUUGGAUUAGCUAGUUGGUGAGGUAACGGCCCACCAAGGCGACGAUCCAUAGCCGACCUGAGAGGGUGACCGGCCACAUUGGGACUGAGACACGGCCCAAACUCCUACGGGAGGCAGCAGUGGGGAAUAUUGCACAAUGGGCGAAAGCCUGAUGCAGCGACGCCGCGUGAGCGAAGAAGUAUUUCGGUAUGUAAAGCUCUAUCAGCAGGGAAGAUAAUGACGGUACCUGACUAAGAAGCACCGGCUAAAUACGUGCCAGCAGCCGCGGUAAUACGUAUGGUGCAAGCGUUAUCCGGAUUUACUGGGUGUAAAGGGAGCGCAGGCGGUGCGGCAAGUCUGAUGUGAAAGCCCGGGGCUCAACCCCGGUACUGCAUUGGAAACUGUCGUACUAGAGUGUCGGAGGGGUAAGCGGAAUUCCUAGUGUAGCGGUGAAAUGCGUAGAUAUUAGGAGGAACACCAGUGGCGAAGGCGGCUUACUGGACGAUAACUGACGCUGAGGCUCGAAAGCGUGGGGAGCAAACAGGAUUAGAUACCCUGGUAGUCCACGCCGUAAACGAUGAAUACUAGGUGUUGGGAAGCAUUGCUUCUCGGUGCCGUCGCAAACGCAGUAAGUAUUCCACCUGGGGAGUACGUUCGCAAGAAUGAAACUCAAAGGAAUUGACGGGGGCCCGCACAAGCGGAGGAACAUGUGGUUUAAUUCGAUGAUACGCGAGGAACCUUACCCGGGCUCGAACGGCACCUGGAUCACCCAGAGAUGGGCGAGUCUUCGGACAGGUGUCGAGGUGCUGCAUGGUUGUCGUCAGCUCGUGCCGUGAGGUGUCGGCUCAAGUGCCAUAACGAGCACAACCCUUGCCGCCAGUUGCCAUCAGGUGAUGCUGGGCACUCUGGCGGGACUGCCACCGCAAGGUGUGAGGAGGGGGGGGAUGACGUCAAGUCAGCACGGCCCUUACGUCCGGGGCGACACACGUGUUACAAUGGCGGCCACAGAGGGAAGCUACCCCGCGAGGGGAUGCGGAUCUCGAAAAGCCGUCCCAGUUCGGACUGGAGUCUGCAACCCGACUCCACGAAGUUGGAUUCGCUAGUAAUCGCGCAUCAGCCAUGGCGCGGUGAAUACGUUCCCGGGCCUUGUACACACCGCCCGUCAAGCCAUGGAAGCCGCGGGCGCCUGAAGUCCGUGACCGGAAGGAGCGGCCUAGGGCGAAGGUGGUAACUGGGGCUAAGUCGUAACAAGGUA
This 1480-nucleotide ribosomal RNA is filed under the name metagenome. Its description in RNAcentral is "bacterial SSU rRNA". It matches the Rfam family "Bacterial small subunit ribosomal RNA". The record is from RNAcentral.